RNAcentral lists this ribosomal RNA (482 nucleotides) under uncultured bacterium. RNAcentral's name for it is "partial 16S ribosomal RNA". It matches the Rfam family "Bacterial small subunit ribosomal RNA", at positions 30 to 507 of the family's 1533-position model. The record is from RNAcentral.
AUUGAACGCUGGCGGCAUGCCUUACACAUGCAAGUCGAACGGUAACGGGCCUUCGGGUGCCGACGAGUGGCGAACGGGUGAGUAAUACAUCGGAACGUGCCCGAUCGUGGGGGAUAACGAGGCGAAAGCUUUGCUAAUACCGCAUACGAUCUACGGAUGAAAGCAGGGGACCGCAAGGCCUUGCGCGGACGGAGCGGCCGAUGGCAGAUUAGGUAGUUGGUGGGAUAAAAGUUUACCAAGCCGACGAUCUGUAGCUGGUCUGAGAGGAUGAUCAGCCACACUGGGAGUGAGACACGGCCCAGACUCCUACGGGAGGCAGCAGUGGGGAAUUUUGGGCAAUGGGCGCAAGCCUGAUCCAGCCAGGCCGCGUGCAGGAUGAAGGCCUUCGGGUUGUAAACUGCUUUUGUACGGAACGAAAAGCCUUCUUUUAAUACAGGAGGGUCAUGACGGUACCGUAAGAAUAAGCACCGGCUAACUACGUG